UACGGGGGGGGCAAGCGUUGUUCGGAAUUACUGGGCGUAAAGGGCUCGUAGGCGGGUCUUUAAGUCAGGGGUGAAAUCCUGGAGCUCAACUCCAGAACUGCCUUUGAUACUGAAGAUCUUGAGUUCGGGAGAGGUGAGUGGAACUGCGAGUGUAGAGGUGAAAUUCGUAGAUAUUCGCAAGAACACCAGUGGCGAAGGCGGCUCACUGGCCCGGUACUGACGCUGAGGUGCGAAAGCGUGGGGAGCAAACAGG
Molecule: ribosomal RNA, 253 nt
Filed under: uncultured bacterium
Lineage: Bacteria
Description: partial 16S ribosomal RNA
Rfam family: Bacterial small subunit ribosomal RNA
Source: RNAcentral